UUUUUUUUUUUUUUUUUUUGGUCUUUUCAGGCCCUCACCCACAGCAUAUGGAAGAUCCCAGAAAAGGCAAAAAUAAAUAAAUAAAUAUAUACAUACAUACAUACAUACACAUCAUAGGACUUCAUAAUCCCAUUCCUAGGUAUUUACAAGGAUGGGAUUUUCUUCAUAAUCUCCAAAAACUGGAAACAAUCCAAACAGCCCUCAAUUUGGGAAUGUAUAAACAAAAUGUGAUACAUCCACACCAUGGCAUAAAACUCAGAAACAAAGAGAAAUGAACGACUGCUACCCACAACAGCAUGAAUGAAUUUCAAUUAUGUUACAAGAGAGCUUCUCACCUUCACCACUAUUGACAUCUGGGGCCAGAUAUUGUCCAUACAGUAGGAGCUGCCCAAGACACCGUAGGAAGUCCAACAGCAUCUCUCACCUCUAACUUACAGAUGCCAGUAGAAUUUCCACCAUGACAAAUAAUUACGUCAACCAAAAAUGUCUCCAAACUUUGCCAAAUGUCCUGUAUGGAGCAAAAUCACCCCUAGCUGAACACUACUGCGUUAUACUUAGUGAAAGAAGACAGACUCAAAAGGUAUGUCCCAUUACCUGAGACUCGAAAAAGCAAACUAAUGGGGCAAACAAGGGAUUAGUGGUUUUCAGAGGCCAGUGCUGAGGUGAGACUGAUUAUAAAAAGCAUGGGAGAAUUUCCAGGAAGUGUCCUAUAUUCUGAUUGUAGGCAUUGUCACAGGACCAUAUAAGUUUAUCAGACUCCACAGAACUGUACACAAAGUCAGCAAAUGUUUCCUAAACAUAAAUUAAAUCCUAAUUUAAAUCAAUGAAGAAAAAAAAGUAUAUAGACUAUUGAAAUUAGAAUUUUAUUAUUCGGGAGUUCCCGUCGUGGCGCAGUGGUUAACGAAUCCGACUAGGAACCAUGAGGUUGCGGGUUCGGUCCCUGCCCUUGCUCAGUAGGUUAACGAUCCGGCGUUGCCGUGAGCUGUGGGGUAGGUUGCAGACGCGGCUCGGAUCCCGAGUUGCUGUGGCUGUGGUGUAGGCUGGCAGCUACAGCUCCGAUUCAACCCCUAGCCUGGGAACCUCCAUAUGCCGUGGAAGCGGCGCAAGAGAUAGCAACAACAACAAAAAAGACAAAAAAAAAAAAAAAAAAAAAAAAAAAAGAAUUUUAUUAUUCGGAAAAAUGUUACCAACCCUGGAGUCAAUUUUAAAGAUUAAUGGAAAUGAAAAAUAUUAUAUAUAAAUAUUAAAUUUCUUAGCUUAAAAGAUGAAUAAACAUCAAAAUUCAUGGAGGAAACAAAAAGAUAAAACAAAUAGAUCACAUAACUCUAACCUCACUGGUAGUUUCUUUGUACUAUUACGUUCUAUACAGUGUUCUGUAUUCCAAAAGAGAAGUGAAAAACAAGACCAAGAAUGUAUCUUAAAUUACUAAAAAUUAAUAACCAAAUUAUACAUUACAUUAAGUAUUUUUAAAUUGAGAACUUAAAUGAUUUCAGCUUAGGAUCUGGAUCUAAAACUUUUUUAGUUAUACACUUACUUUGACAGAAAAACUAAUUUUUAAGUUAAGUUCUUAUCUCCAUACAUUAACAAUACUGACAACGCAAGCCAUAUUUGUUAUUCAGUUUCUUGUGGGGUGAUGUAAACGUUCUAAAAUGAGGGUAUAGUGAUGACUUCGCAAUCUGCAAAUAUACUAAAAACUACGAAGCUGUACACUUUAAUCAGGCUAACAUUAUGGUAUAUAAAUAUCUCAGAAAAGCUCCUAAAAGAUACUGUAUUUAUCAUUAACCUACAUUGACAAGAAUGUCAAAUAGGUAAGUUUGACAUCUAGGUGAAUUUGGUGGCUGAGAAUGGAGACAGAUGGUGAUUAAAUCACAAACAUUUUCUACGAGAAAUAACAGGUGUUUCCAUACUGCUGGAAAAUGAUGGGAAAUUUUUACUUCUAUUCAUUGGCUUUUAGAAAUCUGUCCAAGAUAAUGACUUUGACCAUCUAUUUCACCACAUACCCAACUUUUCCUUAUUUUCACUGUAUCACAUAUUGAUAUGCUUCCCACUUCAUUAUCAAAGUCACUGCUAAGCUCUAAGAAAUCUACCUCAAAGCUGAACUGCUCCCAUUAACAUUUGUUAGUCACCUACUCAUACAACAGAGCCAGAGAUAUAUUUUGAGCUCUGCAUGUCACAUCUGAUGAUGUACCUCUAUUUGCCAUUUAUUUAUUGCAUGUUCUUUUGAUAGCCAGCAUUAAAUUCCGCUCUGCAGUAUGUAACUGAGAAGAAAGUUUCUAAAGGGCCUGUUUCUAAGGCCAGCACCCCUUUGUAGAAGACAAUGGCCUCAGGGCAUAAUCAUGACCAAACCUGAAGGGGAAAGAAGAUAAGAAGCCAUAUGAAAUUUUGUAGUCCACAGAGAAACAAAUGUUUUUUAAAAGAUGAUUAUUUUCUAGGAUCUUUUAAGAAAAAUGUAUUAAAGAAUUUAUGACAGAUCAGGUCAGUUCUAUUAUCUUUCUAAAUUAAUUUGUUUAAAAGCCUGAUCUUUAAAUUUAGAAGAAUAAUGUA
Molecule: long non-coding RNA, 2544 nt
Filed under: Sus scrofa (pig)
Lineage: Eukaryota; Metazoa; Chordata; Mammalia; Artiodactyla; Suidae
Description: lncRNA (ENSSSCG00055001121.1)
Source: RNAcentral